UGGCAAUGAUGGAGCUUCAAAUGGUGUAUUGAUAGAGAACCGUGGUGAAGGGUGCACAGAAAAUGAAUGGAGAUGGAAUGAUGGCUUCUUUUGGGCGAAUGGAUGGCACAAUAGUGAGAGAGUGUGACAUCCUAAUUUUCAUGUCAUAAUCCAGAAAUUUCAAUCAAAUAAAAUUUAUGCUUAGCUAAUUUGAUUGUAUUUUAUUAUUCUUGGAACAAAUAUAUCAACAGAGAGUGUUGGUCUAGUGGGAGAUAUAUUGAGAUCCCUUAUAUCAGGUCACAGGUCCUUUGCUGUUCUUCUCACUUUCGUCUGUCUUCGACACUCGCCGUUCGUGUUCAUGCCGUGGGUGGGUGUGAAAGCUGAAUCCUAGCAUUGGGGUGCUACUCGUCUUGGAUCUCUUUCCCUGUUUCUGUGAAUAUUGAGGAUUAAGGAAUUUAAAGGCCAAAUAUCAUCAUUAGAAGACUAGUUAAAAGUAAGUUAUACAUUUGGAGACUCUACAGACUCACUAGCUGAUGCUGGACCUCCUGCCGAUCGUUAAGGGUCUUACAACUAUACUUGGUUGAUCGUGGAGAGCCAGAAGAUGAAGAAGGCGAGGGUCAACCGAGUAAAAACGAAGCACAUAACCAUUAGGAGCAACGUGAUUCCCAUGGUGGUGUCGCAGGACAUCCUUGGAGGGGAAGAAACUGACGAAGAUGAUUGGGAAUGAAGAAGGAAUGCUGAUCGAUGGAGGCUAUCGAGGCUAUAAAUCAGGAAGAGUAUGAAAAAGAGAUGAUGAAAAAUGAUUAAAAUAAUUUAAAUAAGAGAAAUAUAGAUGUCAAGUAAAUGUCAACACCGGGUAAAAUGUUUUGAGAUGUCAUGCUCUGGUGGAGCAAUGCACAAGACGAGAUGCCGCUAUGUGUCUAAGAAUUUAUACCAAGUUUGCGAUUUUAUUUCCCCAAUUGGAGUUCAAA
This is a long non-coding RNA of Prosopis cineraria, 950 nucleotides long. RefSeq lists it as uncharacterized. NCBI's taxonomy places the organism in Eukaryota, Viridiplantae, Streptophyta, Magnoliopsida, Fabales, Fabaceae. The transcript has 6 exons. The record is from RefSeq and is a predicted model, not a curated record.